Non-coding RNA from Cinara cedri, 228 nucleotides. NCBI's taxonomy places the organism in Eukaryota, Metazoa, Arthropoda, Insecta, Hemiptera, Aphididae. The record is from the annotation of a GenBank genome assembly.
CGUGUCGAUAAAAUACGAUUUAGAACUCUCGAUUGAUUUUUUGCACCAUUGUUAUAUAUAAUAAUUUGUAUUGCACGACUGAGAAUGAUAUUUGGCGUUGAUCUAGUUUUACACAAAAUUGUGUACAAUAGAACUAUUAUGGGCCAUUCGUGGUUCAAAGUUAAAAAGAAAUUUGAUUGCACACCGAUACAUGUAAUCGAGCAUCAACAUUAAAUAAAAUUAAUCGAU